UAGGGAAUCUUCGGCAAUGGGGGGAACCCUGACCGAGCAACGCCGCGUGAGUGAAGAAGGUUUUCGGAUCGUAAAGCUCUGUUGUUAAGGAAGAACGAGUGUGAGAAUGGAAAGUUCAUACUGUGACGGUACUUAACCAGAAAGGGACGGCUAACUACGUGCCAGCAGCCGCGGUAAUACGUAGGUCCCGAGCGUUGUCCGGAUUUAUUGGGCGUAAAGCGAGCGCAGGCGGUUAGAUAAGUCUGAAGUUAAAGGCAGUGGCUCAACCAUUGUAGGCUUUGGAAACUGUUUAACUUGAGUGCAGAAGGGGAGAGUGGAAUUCCAUGUGUAGCGGUGAAAUGCGUGGAUAUAUGGAGGAACACCGGUGGCGGAAGCGGCUCUAUGGUCUGUAACUGACGCCGAGGCUCGAAAGCGUGGGGAGCGAACAGG
This 429-nucleotide ribosomal RNA is filed under the name Bacteroidota bacterium. RNAcentral's name for it is "Bacteroidetes bacterium partial 16S ribosomal RNA". It matches the Rfam family "Bacterial small subunit ribosomal RNA", at positions 355 to 776 of the family's 1533-position model. The record is from RNAcentral. Lineage: Bacteria; Pseudomonadati; Bacteroidota.